Molecule: ribosomal RNA, 510 nt
Filed under: uncultured bacterium
Lineage: Bacteria
Description: partial 16S ribosomal RNA
Rfam family: Bacterial small subunit ribosomal RNA
Source: RNAcentral
GACGAACGCUGGCGGCGUGCUUAACACAUGCAAGUCGAACGAAGAGCGACGGAAGCUUGCUUCUAUCAAUCUUAGUGGCGAACGGGUGAGUAACGCGUAAUCAACCUGCCCUUCAGAGGGGGACAACAGUUGGAAACGACUGCUAAUACCGCAUACGAUCUAAUCUCGGCAUCGAGGAGGGAUGAAAGGUGGCCUCUACAUGUAAGCUAGCACUGAAGGAGGGGAGUGCGUCUGAUUAGCUAGUGGGAGGGGGAACGGCCCACCAAGGUGAUGAUCAGUAGCCGGUCUGAGAGGAGGAACGGCCACAUUGGGACUGAGACACGGCCCAGACUCCUACGGGAGGCAGCAGUGGGGAAUCUUCCGCAAUGGACGAAAGUCUGACGGAGCAACGCCGCGUGAGUGAUGACGGCCUUCGGGUUGUAAAGCUCUGUUAAUCGGGACGAAAGGCCUUCUUGCGAAUAGUGAGAAGGAUUGACGGUACCGGAAUAGAAAGCCACGGCUAACUACGUG